Ictidomys tridecemlineatus (thirteen-lined ground squirrel) is the source of this 72-nucleotide non-coding RNA. The record is from Rfam. NCBI's taxonomy places the organism in Eukaryota, Metazoa, Chordata, Mammalia, Rodentia, Sciuridae.
UGAGCUGUAGCUCAGUGGUAGAGCACUUGCCUCACAUGCUUGAGGUACUGGGUUCAGUCCUCAGCACCACAU